RNAcentral lists this unclassified non-coding RNA (366 nucleotides) under soil metagenome. RNAcentral's name for it is "partial contains 5.8S ribosomal RNA, internal transcribed spacer 2, and large subunit ribosomal RNA". The stretch from base 1 to 120 matches the Rfam family "5.8S ribosomal RNA", at positions 35 to 154 of the family's 154-position model. The record is from RNAcentral.
GAUGAAGAACGUAGUGAAAUGCGAUAUGUAAUGUGAAUUGCAGAAUUCCGUGAAUCAUCGAAUCUUUGAACGCACAUUGCGCCCUCCGGCAUUCCGGAGGGCACGCCUGUCCGAGCGUCAUUACAACCCUCAAGCUCUGCUUGGUAUUGGGCGUCCCGCCCGACGGCCACCCCCCUCGGGGGGCGGGCCGCGGGCGCGCCUCAAAGAACUCGGCGGUCCCAGGACGGCUUCGGGCGUAGCAGAAGCGAAUCGCCUCGGAGCCCGCCCCGGCGGCCUGCCGCACAAGUGACACGCAACUUUUUGCAAGGUUGACCUCGGAUCAGGCGGGGAUACCCGCUGAACUUAAGCAUAUCAAUAAGCGGAGGA